GAAACCUCGGGAGGUGAGCAAAGACUUGUUGCCAUGUACAUAGUGUUUUCUGGUGAGUGGUGGAUCAUGGACGAUUUAACUGGCGGUAGUUAGAAGUGUAUUGGUGUGUAUAGAGGCCUGUUGUGGUGUUCAGGUUCAGGUAGAAGUGUAUUGGUGUAUAUAGAGGCCUGUUGUGGUGUUCAGGUAGAAGUGUAUUGGUGUAUAUAGAGGCCUGUUGUGGUGUUCAGGUUCAGGUAGAAGUGUAUUGGUGUAUAUAGAGGCCUGUUGUGGUGUUCAGGUUCAGGUAGAAGUGUAUUGGUGUAUAUAGAGGCCUGUUGUGGUGUUCAGGUAGAAGUGUAUUGGUGUAUAUAGAGGCCUGUUGUGGUGUUCAGGUAGAAGUGUAUUGGUGUAUAUAGAGGCCUGUUGUGGUGUUCAGGUAGAAGUGUAUUGGUGUAUAUAGAGGCCUGUUGUGGUGUUCAGGUUCAGGUAGAAGUGUAUUGGUGUAUAUAGAGGCCUGUUGUGGUGUUCAGGUAGAAGUGUAUUGGUGUAUAUAGAGGCCUGUUGUGGUGUUCAGGUAGAAGUGUAUUGGUGUGUAUAGAGGCCUGUUGUGGUGUUCAGGUAGAAGUGUAUUGGUGUAUAUAGAGGCCUGUUGUGGUGUUCAGGUAGAAGUGUAUUGGUGUAUAUAGAGGCCUGUUGUGGUGUUCAGGUAGAAGUGUAUUGGUGUAUAUAGAGGCCUGUUGUGGUGUUCAGGUAGAAGUGUAUUGGUGUAUAUAGAGGCCUGUUGUGGUGUUCAGGUUCAGGUAGAAGUGUAUUGGUGUAUAUAGAGGCCUGUUGUGGUGUUCAGGUAGAAGUGUAUUGGUGUAUAUAGAGGCCUGUUGUGGUGUUCAGGUAGAAGUGUAUUGGUGUGUAUAGAGGCCUGUUGUGGUGUUCAGGUUCAGGUAGAAGUGUAUUGGUGUAUAUAGAGGCCUGUUGUGGUGUUCAGGUAGAAGUGUAUUGGUGUAUAUAGAGGCCUGUUGUGGUGUUCAGGUUCAGGUAGAAGUGUAUUGGUGUAUAUAGAGGCCUGUUGUGGUGUUCAGGUUCAGGUAGAAGUGUAUUGGUGUAUAUAGAGGCCUGUUGUGGUGUUCAGGUAGAAGUGUAUUGGUGUAUAUAGAGGCCUGUUGUGGUGUUCAGGUAGAAGUGUAUUGGUGUAUAUAGAGGCCUGUUGUGGUGUUCAGGUAGAAGUGUAUUGGUGUAUAUAGAGGCCUGUUGUGGUGUUCAGGUUCAGGUAGAAGUGUAUUGGUGUAUAUAGAGGCCUGUUGUGGUGUUCAGGUAGAAGUGUAUUGGUGUAUAUAGAGGCCUGUUGUGGUGUUCAGGUAGAAGUGUAUUGGUGUGUAUAGAGGCCUGUUGUGGUGUUCAGGUAGAAGUGUAUUGGUGUAUAUAGAGGCCUGUUGUGGUGUUCAGGUAGAAGUGUAUUGGUGUAUAUAGAGGCCUGUUGUGGUGUUCAGGUAGAAGUGUAUUGGUGUAUAUAGAGGCCUGUUGUGGUGUUCAGGUAGAAGUGUAUUGGUGUAUAUAGAGGCCUGUUGUGGUGUUCAGGUUCAGGUAGAAGUGUAUUGGUGUAUAUAGAGGCCUGUUGUGGUGUUCAGGUAGAAGUGUAUUGGUGUAUAUAGAGGCCUGUUGUGGUGUUCAGGUAGAAGUGUAUUGGUGUGUAUAGAGGCCUGUUGUGGUGUUCAGGUUCAGGUAGAAGUGUAUUGGUGUAUAUAGAGGCCUGUUGUGGUGUUCAGGUAGAAGUGUAUUGGUGUGUAUAGAGGCCUAUUGUGGUGUUCAGGUUCAGGUAGAAGUGUAUUGGUGUAUAUAGAGGCCUGUUGUGGUGUUCAGGUAGAAGUGUAUUGGUGUAUAGAGAGGCCUGUUGUGGUGUUUAGGUAGAAGUGUAUUGGUGUGUAUAGAGGCCUGUUGUGGUGUUCAGGUAGAAGUGUAUUGGUGUGUAUAGAGGCCUGUUGUGGUGUUCAGGUAGAAGUGUAUUGGUGUGUAUAGAGGCCUGUUGUGGUGUUCAGGUAGAAGUGUAUUGGUGUAUAUAGAGGCCUGUUGUGGUGUUCAGGUAGAAGUGUAUUGGUGUAUAUAGAGGCCUGUUGUGGUGUUCAGGUAGAAGUGUAUUGGUGUAUAUAGAGGCCUGUUGUGGUGUUCAGGUAGAAGUGUAUUGGUGUAUAUAGAGGCCUGUUGUGGUGUUCAGGUUCAGGUAGAAGUGUAUUGGUGUAUAUAGAGGCCUGUUGUGGUGUUCAGGUAGAAGUGUAUUGGUGUAUAUAGAGGCCUGUUGUGGUGUUCAGGUAGAAGUGUAUUGGUGUGUAUAGAGGCCUGUUGUGGUGUUCAGGUUCAGGUAGAAGUGUAUUGGUGUAUAUAGAGGCCUGUUGUGGUGUUCAGGUAGAAGUGUAUUGGUGUGUAUAGAGGCCUAUUGUGGUGUUCAGGUUCAGGUAGAAGUGUAUUGGUGUAUAUAGAGGCCUGUUGUGGUGUUCAGGUAGAAGUGUAUUGGUGUAUAGAGAGGCCUGUUGUGGUGUUUAGGUAGAAGUGUAUUGGUGUGUAUAGAGGCCUGUUGUGGUGUUCAGGUAGAAGUGUAUUGGUGUAUAGAGAGGCCUGUUGUGGUGUUUAGGUAGAAGUGUAUUGGUGUAUAUAGAGGCCUGUUGUGGUGUUCAGGUAGAAGUGUAUUGGUGUAUAUAGAGGCCUGUUGUGGUGUUCAGGUAGAAGUGUAUUGGUGUAUAUAGAGGCCUGUUGUGGUGUUCAGGUAGAAGUGUAUUGGUGUAUAGAGAGGCCUGUUGUGGUGUUUAGGUAGAAGUGUAUUGGUGUAUAUAGAGGCCUGUUGUGGUGUUCAGGUAGAAGUGUAUUGGUGUAUAUAGAGGCCUGUUGUGGUGUUCAGGUAGAAGUGUAUUGGUGUAUAUAGAGGCCUGUUGUGGUGUUCAGGUAGAAGUGUAUUGGUGUAUAUAGAGGCCUGUUGUGGUGUUCAGGUAGAAGUGUAUUGGUGUAUAUAGAGGCCUGUUGUGGUGUUCAGGUAGAAGUGUAUUGGUGUAUAUAGAGGCCUGUU
Long non-coding RNA from Oncorhynchus keta (chum salmon), 3028 nucleotides. RefSeq lists it as uncharacterized. The record is from RefSeq and is a predicted model, not a curated record. The transcript has 4 exons. Lineage: Eukaryota; Metazoa; Chordata; Actinopteri; Salmoniformes; Salmonidae.